Molecule: long non-coding RNA, 1804 nt
Organism: Urocitellus parryii (Arctic ground squirrel)
Lineage: Eukaryota; Metazoa; Chordata; Mammalia; Rodentia; Sciuridae
Source: RefSeq, a predicted model, not a curated record
GUGGACGCUCCCUCCUGAGGUCACAGGAGCCUUACAGCACCCUCCUCUGCCUCUUGCAAUGCUCUUUCUGGGGACACCAGCCACCAGCUGAGAGAACCAAGUCCCUGGAGAUGCCACCCCUAAGUGGCUUCGAGCAGACUCCUGCCAGCAGUCCCGACUGAGCCCUGCCUUCCUGCCAGCCCCAGGGACUCCAUACCCCUCACAACCUGGCUGGCCCUUUUUGAGGUGUGGCUGGACCUGCAGGGCUUUCCAGAGGGCCAGACACCACGGGACCCUUAAUUUGCACCUUAUAGAGCUAAGGUGAGCAAGAAAGKGUCCCCUGGAAAGGUCUUCACGUGGAUUGACUUAACAAAGACACCAUUUUGCAGUGAGAAAAGUGAAGCAAGCAGAAGAAAACGUCCAUGGAUCUCCCUGACCUGUCUGCGGGCCUCUCUGGGCCGCCUUGCCCUCUGUCCCUGCAGACAGUGCUUCUCUCGGAAGCCAGCCCCUCCCUUGGUGGGCUCCAUGGCUGCACUCCAGCAACUCUCCUCUCUCAGCCUUUUGCCAGCUUCUCGUCUCUCCUGGAUCAAGCUCAUCUAUAGCAAAACACAGCCUAACCCUGUUCACUGCAUGUUACAAAACCUCCUGUCCCCAGCUCCCCUGUCACCUCUACCCCAAUUCCGUUUCCCUUUCCAGCAAGUUCCACAGGGAGUUGUCCUCACUUGUUUCCUCCAACUCAUUCUUGUUUCCAGUUCAGUCAGGCCUCUGCUCUCCCCAGCUCCCUGCUCCAGAACUGUCCCUACCAAGGUCACCCGUGGUGUCCAAGUGGCUCACUCCUCAUCUCUCUUUUGGUCCAUCAACAACAUUCGGCACUCCUCACCACUUUCUCUUCUUUGAAAUACUUUCUUCACCCGGUUUCCAGGUCCCCAAAUUCUCUUGAUCUUUCCUUUGACUCAAACGGUGGCUCUCGUUCUUAGCGCACCUCUGGGCUUCAGGGAUCAGUCCCGUUUCCUCUUCUUGACCCACAUGAACUCCCCGAGUGACCUCAGCCAGUCUCACAACUCUGAAUGCCAUCCUGGUGCCCAUGACUCCCGAGUGUGUCGAGUGUGUUUUGAGCCCAGGUUUUCUCCACACUCCAGGUUCGCCUGCCCAACCGCUUACUCAACGUCUUCAUUUCUGAGAUCUAGUGGAUAUCUCAAACUUAGCAAGUCCAAACCUUAAAUGACCCUAUGGCUCAGGAUUCUGCCCACAAACCCCACCUCCUCAUCUUGAGUGAUGAGACCUCUCCCUUCCAGGAGCUCAGACAAAAAUCUUAAAGCAUCCGUGAGUUUAUCUCCUUCUCUUGCACCCAACAUGCAAUUCACGAGGAAACCCGGAUCAGUGACGCUGUCUUGGGGACAUAACCUAAGUCUCACUGCUCACUCCUCCACUGCUCUCAGCCUAGUCCUAGCUGCAUUUCCAGUCCUUGUCUUGCCCCUGAAGCUACUUUGCACACCAAAGCCAGAGAGGUCAGAAAAUAUCAUUACUCAGCUGCAACUCUGCAAUGGCUCAAGGUAACAUCUGGAGUCCUCACAAUGGCCUGAAAGCCCUUGGUGCCCUGUUGGCAGGCCCUCACCCUCUGCCUCCAACUCCCCGUGCCUCAUCUUGCUCUCUGCCCCAGCCACACUGGUCUCCUGGCUGCUCCUCACAUGCUCUACCUUGGGGACUUUGCACUAGUUAUUCUUCCACCUGGAACAACUGUCCCUCAAUGUCUCCACCCCCUCAAGAUGUCAUUGCUCAGAGGUCAUUGUCUCAGUAAAGCCACCCCUAACCACUGUGGUCCUUG